Molecule: ribosomal RNA, 253 nt
Filed under: uncultured bacterium
Lineage: Bacteria
Description: partial 16S ribosomal RNA
Rfam family: Bacterial small subunit ribosomal RNA
Source: RNAcentral
UACGAAGGGGGCUAGCGUUGCUCGGAAUGACUGGGCGUAAAGGGCGCGUAGGCGGAUGGCUUUGUCGGGCGUGAAAUUCCAGGGCUUAACCUUGGGGCUGCGUUCGAGACGGGUUGUCUUGAGUGGGGAAGAGGGUCGUGGAAUUCCCAGUGUAGAGGUGAAAUUCGUAGAUAUUGGGAAGAACACCGGUGGCGAAGGCGACUCACUGGCCCAUUACUGACGCUGAGGCGCGAAAGCGUGGGGAGCAAACAGG